GAAGUCCGCUACGAUGAAGCAGUAGCGAACCCCAUCGGCCUCCGAGCCAUGCACAUAUGCCCGCGUGGGCGUCGUCGAAGCGUCGGCUGAGGCACAAAUAGGCCAGCCGUCGAGCCUCGAAAGUUUGGGUUGGACCUGGGCGCUGACGUCGUCGUAAAGGCGGAAAGUAACCCAGCCGGCUGCACCAUCCCAAGCGCUCGAACGGCCUGGCGUGGUGUACGACAC
Non-coding RNA from Burkholderiales bacterium JOSHI_001, 225 nucleotides. The record is from Rfam. Lineage: Bacteria; Pseudomonadati; Pseudomonadota; Betaproteobacteria; Burkholderiales.